This is a long non-coding RNA of Telopea speciosissima, 437 nucleotides long. RefSeq lists it as uncharacterized. Lineage: Eukaryota; Viridiplantae; Streptophyta; Magnoliopsida; Proteales; Proteaceae. The record is from RefSeq and is a predicted model, not a curated record. The transcript has 2 exons.
GCCUUCACAGCCACACUAACAAUCUAGAAUUAAGAAUGCUUAUUGAAAUCAAACAGUCAAGAAACUAAAGGUUUCACUUCCAGUGAGUGAACUUCGAGUUACAACAGACCAAAAGCAUGUAUAUAAUAUUAUAAUCCAGUUCAAACAUCAUCAAGUGCCACUGUUUUUUAAUAUGGAAAUGUCAUGGGCCACCGAACAAGUGUCCAGAAGAGAUGAUAGAUUACUUAAUUGAGACCAAGUUGGGUCUUAUUUCAUUUCACUGAAUUUGUGUUGCUACAGGCCACCAUGAAAAAAGACAAGGCAGUUUGAGUCAUGCAAUCGUUUAUUGAUUAAUCUGACAAAUGUCUAGAAACAACAAUCAGAUGACCGAAUUCUGAAAGGAAGAGGAGCUUUAAAUCCAAAGACAGGGAGACCCAAAAGCUUGAUGUUAGUACAAG